RNAcentral lists this ribosomal RNA (253 nucleotides) under uncultured bacterium. RNAcentral describes it as "partial 16S ribosomal RNA". It matches the Rfam family "Bacterial small subunit ribosomal RNA", at positions 524 to 776 of the family's 1533-position model. The record is from RNAcentral.
UACGUAGGGGGCUAGCGUUGUUCGGAAUUAUUGGGCGUAAAGGGCUCGUAGGUGGCCAACUAAGUCAGACGUGAAAUCCCUCAGCUUAACUGGGGAACUGCGUCUGAUACUGGAUGGCUUGAGUUUGGGAGAGGGACGCGGAAUUCCAGGUGUAGCGGUGAAAUGCGUAGAUAUCUGGAGGAACACCGGUGGCGAAGGCGGCGUCCUGGACCAACACUGACACUGAUGAGCGAAAGCCAGGGGAGCAAACGGG